UGCGUAGGCGGCUUUCUAAGUUGGAUGUGAAAACUCUGGGCUCAACCCAGAGACUGCAUCCAAAACUGGAGAGCUUGGGUUCUGGAGGGGAAAGCGGAAUUCCUGGUGUAGCGGUGAAAUGCGUAGAUAUCAGGAGGAACACCGGUGGCGAAGGCGGCUUUCUGGACAGAUACCGACGCUGAGGCACGAAAGCUGGGAGCAAACA
RNAcentral lists this ribosomal RNA (205 nucleotides) under uncultured bacterium. Its description in RNAcentral is "partial 16S ribosomal RNA". It matches the Rfam family "Bacterial small subunit ribosomal RNA", at positions 568 to 774 of the family's 1533-position model. The record is from RNAcentral.